AGGCAUGCUGGAGGUAUCAGAAGUGCGAAUGCUGACAUAAGUAACGAUAAAGCGGGUGAAAAGCCCGCUCGCCGGAAGACCAAGGGUUCCUGUCCAACGUUAAUCGGGGCAGGGUGAGUCGACCCCUAAGGCGAGGCCGAAAGGCGUAGUCGAUGGGAAACAGGUUAAUAUUCCUGUACUUGGUGUUACUGCGAAGGGGGGACGGAGAAGGCUAUGUUGGCCGGGCGACGGUUGUCCCGGUUUAAGCGUGUAGGCUGGUUUUCCAGGCAAAUCCGGAAAAUCAAGGCUGAGGCGUGAUGACGAGGCACUACGGUGCUGAAGCAACAAAUGCCCUGCUUCCAGGAAAAGCCUCUAAGCAUCAGGUAACAUCAAAUCGUACCCCAAACCGACACAGGUGGUCAGGUAGAGAAUACCAAGGCGCUUGAGAGAACUCGGGUGAAGGAACUAGGCAAAAUGGUGCCGUAACUUCGGGAGAAGGCACGCUGAUAUGUAGGUGAAGUCCCUCGCGGAUGGAGCUGAAAUCAGUCGAAGAUACCAGCUGGCUGCAACUGUUUAUUAAAAACACAGCACUGUGCAAACACGAAAGUGGACGUAUACGGUGUGACGCCUGCCCGGUGCCGGAAGGUUAAUUGAUGGGGUUAGCGCAAGCGAAGCUCUUGAUCGAAGCCCCGGUA
RNAcentral lists this ribosomal RNA (674 nucleotides) under Escherichia coli. Its description in RNAcentral is "partial 23S ribosomal RNA". It matches the Rfam family "Bacterial large subunit ribosomal RNA", at positions 1266 to 1925 of the family's 2925-position model. Lineage: Bacteria; Pseudomonadati; Pseudomonadota; Gammaproteobacteria; Enterobacterales; Enterobacteriaceae. The record is from RNAcentral.